RNAcentral lists this long non-coding RNA (205 nucleotides) under Panax ginseng (ginseng). Its description in RNAcentral is "long non-coding RNA (PGIN_LNC013446)". The record is from RNAcentral. Lineage: Eukaryota; Viridiplantae; Streptophyta; Magnoliopsida; Apiales; Araliaceae.
AGAGACAGUAGAAUAAGGUUGAACUCGUUCUUCCAACUGUGAGGAUUUCACAAAGGCAAUGCCUCUACCAAAACUUGAGACAUUACUAGUGCUAGUUUCCAUUGUCUUUUCCACACUUAACUCUGAGAUGGAUUCCCCAAAGCCUAAGUCUGUUCUGUCGAAUGUGCUCCUCUGACUAGAGAGCAGGCAGUCCAUGGAUGAUGAG